CCGACCUUGGCGCAGUUGGUUUAGCGCAUGGCGCUGUAAAGGCUUGUGGUACGCCGGGGUCCCGUGUUCAAAUCACGGAGGUCGGA
This is a non-coding RNA of Hyaloraphidium curvatum, 86 nucleotides long. The record is from the annotation of a GenBank genome assembly. NCBI's taxonomy places the organism in Eukaryota, Fungi, Monoblepharomycota, Hyaloraphidiomycetes, Hyaloraphidiales, Hyaloraphidiaceae.